This 253-nucleotide ribosomal RNA is filed under the name uncultured bacterium. Its description in RNAcentral is "partial 16S ribosomal RNA". It matches the Rfam family "Bacterial small subunit ribosomal RNA", at positions 524 to 776 of the family's 1533-position model. The record is from RNAcentral.
UACGUAGGGAGCAAGCGUUGUCCGGAAUCAUUGGGCGUAAAGCGCGCGUAGGUGGCUUCUUAAGUCAGGGGUGAAAUCCUGGAGCUCAACUCCAGAACUGCCUUUGAUACUGAGAAGCUUGAGUUCGGGAGAGGUGAGUGGAACUGCGAGUGUAGAGGUGAAAUUCGUAGAUAUUCGCAAGAACACCAGUGGCGAAGGCGGCUCACUGGCCCGAUACUGACGCUGAGGCACGAAAGCGUGGGGAGCAAACAGG